AUUGAACGCUGGCGGCAUGCUUUACACAUGCAAGUCGAACGGCAGCGCGGGCUUCGGCCUGGCGGCGAGUGGCGAACGGGUGAGUAAUGCAUCGGAACGUGCCCAGUAGUGGGGGAUAGCCCGGCGAAAGCCGGAUUAAUACCGCAUACGACCUGAGGGUGAAAGCGGGGGACCGAAAGGCCUCGCGCUAUUGGAGCGGCCGAUGUCGGAUUAGCUAGUUGGUGGGGUAAAGGCUUCCCAAGGCGACGAUCCGUAGCCGGUCUGAGAGGACGACCAGCCACACUGGGACUGAGACACGGCCCAGACUCCUACGGGAGGCAGCAGUGGGGAAUUUUGGACAAUGGGGGCAACCCUGAUCCAGCCAUGCCGCGUGCGGGAAGAAGGCCUUCGGGUUGUAAACCGCUUUUGUUCGGGAAGAAAUCCUCUGGGCUAAUACCCCGGGGGGAUGACGGUACCGGAAGAAUAAGCACCGGCUAACUACGUG
RNAcentral lists this ribosomal RNA (484 nucleotides) under uncultured bacterium. RNAcentral's name for it is "partial 16S ribosomal RNA". It matches the Rfam family "Bacterial small subunit ribosomal RNA", at positions 28 to 507 of the family's 1533-position model. The record is from RNAcentral.